GGGUUGCGGACAGUGUCUGGUGGGUAGUUUGACUGGGGCGGUCUCCUCCUAAAGAGUAACGGAGGAGCACGAAGGUUGGCUAAUCCUGGUCGGACAUCAGGAGGUUAGUGCAAUGGCAUAAGCCAGCUUGACUGCGAGCGUGACGGCGCGAGCAGGUGCGAAAGCAGGUCAUAGUGAUCCGGUGGUUCUGAAUGGAAGGGCCAUCGCUCAACGGAUAAAAGGUACUCCGGGGAUAACAGGCUGAUACCGCCCAAGAGUUCAUAUCGACGGCGGUGUUUGGCACCUCGAUGUCGGCUCAUCACAUCCUGGGGCUGAAGUAGGUCCCAAGGGUAUGGCUGUUCGCCAUUUAAAGUGGUACGCGAGCUGGGUUUAGAACGUCGUGAGACAGUUCGGUCCCUAUCUGCCGUGGGCGCUGGAGAACUGAGGGGGGCUGCUCCUAGUACGAGAGGACCGGAGUGGACGCAUCACUGGUGUUCGGGUUGUCAUGCCAAUGGCACUGCCCGGUAGCUAAAUGCGGAAGAGAUAAGUGCUGAAAGCAUCUAAGCACGAAACUUGCCCCGAGAUGAGUUCUCCCUGACUCCUUGAGAGUCCUGAAGGAACGUUGAAGACGACGACGUUGAUAGGCCGGGUGUGUAAGCGCAGCGAUGCGUUGAGCUAACCGGUACUAAUGAACCGUGAGGCUUAACCUUACAACGCCGAAG
This 701-nucleotide ribosomal RNA is filed under the name Escherichia coli. Its description in RNAcentral is "bacterial LSU rRNA". It matches the Rfam family "Bacterial large subunit ribosomal RNA", at positions 2242 to 2925 of the family's 2925-position model. Lineage: Bacteria; Pseudomonadati; Pseudomonadota; Gammaproteobacteria; Enterobacterales; Enterobacteriaceae. RNAcentral also lists the same sequence under 1 other name. The record is from RNAcentral.